RNAcentral lists this long non-coding RNA (13316 nucleotides) under Vitis vinifera (wine grape). RNAcentral's name for it is "long non-coding RNA (VVIN_LNC001181)". The record is from RNAcentral. Lineage: Eukaryota; Viridiplantae; Streptophyta; Magnoliopsida; Vitales; Vitaceae.
UUGUUGCCGCUUUCAUACUCAGUUCCGUUUCAAAUUUCAUCGAUCGUUUCAACACAAUGGCAUAUCAGCAAGAUCCAUGCGCCAACCCAACGCAUCAGACUGGCAAGACCGGAGGCCAGACCGACCAGUAUGGAAACCCAGUCCAUCAAACCGAGGCCAUGGGCGCGUAUGGUGCGGGAACUGGCACUGGUAUGCAUGGUGGGGAGCAUCAGCAGCAGCCCCACCAACAACCCGGCGUGCUUCAUCGCUCCGGCAGCUCUGUAAGUUGCCAUGCCAAAUGCCAAAUCGUUAUUAAUUAGCUUUGAUAUCUUGGUUUUGUUAUUUUGACUGGAUUUGAUACGCAGUCAUCCGAGGACGAUGGGCAAGGUGGGAGAAGGAAGAAAGGGAUGAAGGAGAAGAUAAAAGAGAGGAUACCGGGCAUGGGACGCAAGGACGAGCAGAAGCAUACGAGCGCCACAAGUACGCCGGGGCAGGGGCAGCAACAGAAAGGAAUGAUGGAGAAGAUCAAGGAGAAGCUGCCUGGGGGCCACUAGGUGUGUCUGGAAAUGAAGGGGACGUGGUCUAAUCGUUUGUAACUGAAACGAGAGUCUAGGUCCAUAGGUCAUAGGUGAAUGGGUGAUGCAUAAGCGUUUGGUUAUGAACCAGACGAGUCUAAAUUGAGUUAAUAAAUUGCUGGACUGCUGCUAUAUGCAGCCCGGCAUCUGCUUUCUGCUUUCUCAAUGUAGUCCCUGUAUGCCUGUCCUCUUCGUAUAUUAGUAGCUGAGUGCUUAUUAAUGCUACACUUAUGUUGUCAUUUUUCAUAAACUAGAUUUUGUUUUGGUGUUACCACCCCCAAUCUGACUUCAUGCUUAAGCGCAAGUUUAUCGUGCUUUAAUUUGAUCAAAUCUUGAUAUAUUCAGGUAACCCUGUACAUGCUGCAAUUCAGGUCUUGCAGAAACCACAUGUUCACAACGAAUAAUAAAUGUAAAUAAAUGGCUACAGCAAGUAAGAGCAUGUAUUAGAAGAGUAAAAAAAAAAAAUGGUGAAAACAGUACCCACGAAAUAUAUACUACAACGUUUAAAAAAAUUAGGGCGUCAUGGAGAUAAAAACUAGGCAUCACAAAGACAAACAAUCCGACAAAGUAUGAUUUCUAUAUAUAUGUUCAAUUCAUAAAAUUAUAUAAAAAUGAAUAUUUGAUAGAAGGAAUAUUAAUUAUAUAAAAAAGAAUAUUUGAUGGUUUACCAUUGAAUGCUUUCUCAUUUUUUUCCCCUAAAGGGGCAGUUCUUCACACCUUCCCCUUCUUUUACCCACAAAAGCAUCAUCCCAUCUAAGCAAGUUUUCCCUUAUAGUGAAAUGCAAAACCUAUUGCUAAUAUACUAGUCUUGUUGCAAAACAGAAAAUGAUGGUCAUUAAUUUAUUCUUCUUUACCAUAACAUACUAGUCUUGUUACAAAAUAGAAAAAGAUGGUCAUUAAUUUAUUCUUUUUUACACUAGAAACAUCUAUUUGACAUGUUUCAUCCCCUUCUUUUCGAUUCGUCAGUAAUUAAAACUCUAUUCCAAGACACUUGCCAAACAAAAAAAACCUACUCUCAUCGGAAUCCAAGACCUCCAAAUAAUGCACCAAGUGUAAGGAUCACUAGACUUGUGUAGGAACAGUGAGUCACUUUCUCUCUAGCUCAAAGUAUCCUUCACAUCUCUUCUAACAGCCAAAGAAUGAAGUUUCCAAUAAAAAGACUCCACCUCUCCCAUCUCCCAAUCAUUAAGGUGUCUUGAAAAGCGAGGACUCCAACAACCCAACUCCCCACUCUCCUCCUAAGCAUUUGACACCCACCCAUCUUUGUAUGUAGCUAAGAGAAAUAAAGUAGGAAAAACAUCUUUCAAUGUUUGAUUCUCACACCACAAGUCCUUCUAAAACCGAACCCUUUUUUCUCAUUAUCUACUACAUACGAAACGGGAUCUAUCUCGAAUGCCCUCUCAUUCUCUUCUAAUGGCUUUCCACACCCCUACACCAAAACCUCCUCUCCCUCCAAACCAAACUUGUCGAUGAUGACUUGUUUCCAAAGGGGCUCUCUUUCUUUUGCAAAUCUCCAACUCCACUUCCUAAGCAAAGCCUUGUUAAGGGCCAUAAGGUUGCGAAUUCCUAGACCACCCUCCUUCUUAUUAGCACAACAAACUUUUCAAUGCACCAAAUGAGGCCUUUUUUCCAAGGCUCCACCGCCUCAAAGAAGGGUCUCUUUGUAUUUUCUCAAGUCUUGCACUCACCUUCCGAGGAAGGACAAAGAUGGACAUAAAAUAAAUCAGAAGACUAGAAAGGGUACUUUUGAUCAAGGCAAACCUCCCGCCCUUAGAGAGAUAUUGUCACUUCCACAUAAAUAAUUUUUUCUAAAUCUCUCUUCCACUACAUCCUACACUCUUAGGGAUUUGAAAGAGGCUCCCAAAGGAAGACCUAUAUAAGAAGUGGAAAGCUUCCCUACACCACACCCCAACCCCACAGCUAGCUCCUCCAUAUUCUCUACCCCCCAAUGGGAAUAACCUCGUUUUUAUCUAAAUUCACUUUUAAACCAAAAAGCGCCUCAAACCAUAUAAACACCCAACUUAAAUAUCUCAACCGGUCACUAUUGACCUCACAAAAAAUUAAGGUGUCGUCAACAAACAAUAGGUGGGAUACAUCCCACCUCUCUCCAUAUCAACAAUUAGGCAAUAUCAACAAUUCCGAGAGUUAGAUCUUGUGAAUAAAAAACGAGGUUUUUGGUUCUAGGGGUACUAAUGAAAUCCAAUAAGUAGAAUCAUUCUAAAAAUUACAAUGAUGUGUUAAAUUCUUGGGGUACUAAUGAACCCAAUAAAUAAAUUUCCUAGUUGCAAUUGAAUCAUUCUCAAAAUUAUAGUUAUCGCAAAAUCCUGACUGUAAUAAUACAGAGGAGAUGCUAGCUAUAUUAGGCGUUUAUAAAAUUGGGGAUUAAUUCAAAUAAAUCCAAUACGGAUGGAAAAGAAAACUGGGACUGCUACAGUACGAUUUCCUGAUGAUUGCUUAAAGAUGACAUCUGGAGUUCAUCAUUGUGUAAAUGAUAUUGUAGGUCGCCGGAUUAAAUCCAUCCUUGUCAAUUCUAUUCUCUUCUUCCUUCAGAGCCCAGUUUGGAGCAAGUACUUGUGCAGAAGAGUGUACAAAGGUGGCAACUUGGGUGGAUAAUUAGGAUUCAAAUUCAAUAGGCUCUGUACUGGUGUAAGAUUAACCAAACUUCAAAUGAGAAAAGAAAAGAAAAAAUCCAAUUGGUCAAUGUUGCAGUUCCAAUCCAUGCUUCCAUCACCAGAAGUUACCACAGGAGCAUCUCCCAUCGCGAAAAUGGUGGAAUCUCAUGUUAUCCCUGACAACAAUUUCUCUCCCUGUGAUCUGAGAAGCACCACACAUUACUGAAUGGCAAUCUUCGCAUAUCCUGAGGUUCUUCACAAUUCUAAUGGUGCACCCAGCAUUUGUAGUGAGCAGGCCAAACGCCAGAGCAAGCUUCUCACUAUGACUCAUUAGCAACCGCUUCUUCUCUUCAUCACUAAUGUCAUAGGCCACAGAACUCAGGUUUGGCUGGUAGCCAAGAUACUUUAAUCUGUCGAGAAGAUCCUCCAGUGCCUGCUUAAUCUCCCUGGACUUCGGAUGGGACAUAUCACCUGCAAAGAACUCGUGAAUUAUCCCUUUCUUUCCUUCAACCCAGCUGCAUCCAGGAUUCUUUUUCAGACCCUUCGCCCUCAUUAACUUCCUUACCUUUGAAACAUCAUCCCACCUGCCUGCUGAAGCAUAUAUAUUGGAAAGCAAGAUGUAGUUCCCAAUACCAUUGGGUUCAAGCUCAAACAAAUGGCUUGCAGCAAUCUGGGCCAUAUCAGGAUUCCCGUGGAUGCGACAUGCCCCAAGCAGUGCUCCCCACACGCCCCCAUGGGGAUUCAUGGGCAUCAUUUUUACAAGGUUGAGAGCUUCUUCCAAGCGUCCAGCUCGACCAAGAAGAUCCACCAUGCAGGCAUAGUGAUCCUCUGAUGGUGCAACACCAUGACAUUCUUCCAUCAUUGCGAAUAAUUGCUGACCUUGUUCUACCAUACCUGCAUGGCUGCAAGCAGUAAGAACACCUAUAAACGUGACCCUGUUUGGUUUUAUCUCUGUCUUCAACAUCUCAUCAAAUAAUUCCAUUGCAGCACCAGCCAAACCAUGCAUUGCAAACCCCACAAUCAUUGAACUAUAAGAAUACACAUUCCUUUCCUCCAUUCUUUCAAAAACCUUGUAAGCAUCUUCUACGCUCCCACACUUCGCAUACAUAUCAAUCAAUGCAGAUCCCACAACAACAUUACUGGUAGGCCCAAAUCCAGAUUGCUCUGCAACGUCCCGGACCCAAUUAGCAUACUUAGCUGCACCUAGUUGAGCACAUGCUGAAAUGACACCAACCAAGGUAACCUCAUCCGUUUUAACGCCUGCAGCCUGCAUUCUUUCAAAAACUUCCAAUGCCUCUCUUGGCCUAGCAUUUUGGGCAUACCCUGUGACCAUUGCUGUCCAUGCCACCAUAUCCUUCAUGGGUAAUCCAUCAAACAACUCACUUGCAGCCUCCAUGUUUCCAACCUUCGCAUAUGCAACAAUCAAAGAAGUCCAAGAAAUCACAUCUCUGUCCAGCAUUUCAUCGAAUACCCGAUGUCCACAACCCAAACACCCGCAUUUCACAUACAUAUCAAUCAAAGUAUUCCCAACAUAUAAAUCAGAACCAAACCCGCCAAUCAAAAUCGUCUGGGUAUGUACCUGCCUCCCCAAAUUGACAUCAAGAGCAGCGCUACAAGCCUUGAGCAGUGCAGUAAAAGUAAACGAAACAGGGCCAAUGCCUUGCCUUCUCAUACUAUUAUACAGAAGAACCGAUUCCAUAAAGGGCCCUUGAAGAGCGUAACCGCGAAUAAGCGCGGUCCAAAGAAAUGGGUUGGGGUAUUCAACUUGUUGGAAGACAAGGCGCGGAUAGGGGUCCAUUGGGACAUCGAGUUUGGUGAGCGUACGGAGGAGCUUGGCGAGAACAAAGCAGCACUGUUCCAGACCCUUUCGGAAGAUGUGGGCGUGCACUUGUUUGACUUGGUUGAUGUGGGUGCAGCCAUGAAGGACUGACACAAGCCGCGAUUCUAAAAUCUUUUGUUCUUGGCGUACAGAGAAGGGAAUGAAAGAUUGAGUUUGCAGCUGACAAUAGGAGGUUUUCGGGAGAAUGAAGAGACAUGUCUUUGUACAGAAUUUGACCAUUACACGCGAUUUCACGGUUCAUUGGGGUGCUUCCUGUGAGACAUGAGAGACCACUCGAAGGAAGAAGGCGGCACAUUAGAUUAAAAGGGAUUUUUAAUCACGUUUUUAGAAGUAUGUGAUUUUUUUUUUUUAAGAAGACAGGAUCCUUUUAAUCAAAUAAAACCCUUUUUCAUCUUUUUCACCUCAGAUCCAACGACGUCGUUUUGCCUUGGGCAAACGUACUAGUCCUACGUUUUGUUCUUAGGUAGUUUUGGGGUUGGAGAAAAGGUGAAAGGCAAAAUCAAUCGGCAGCAACAGCAUCAUGUUUGCAACAGCGAUCAGGUAUUUGGCAAAGAAACCGAAGCCAAAGCAGAAACCUAUAGAGCUAAAAACUCCACCUGAGCAAACUAAAACCCUCACUAGGGUUAUAUUUGAUAUAGUAAAGGAGCACGGUCCUCUCACCAUCGCCGACACCUGGGAACAUGUCCAGGUAAUUCUUCUCUCUCAAUCCUCCAUUCUUUAUUCUUUCCAAACCUAAAACACAGAUGCCCUUAUUUUCCAGUAUUUUACUUGUAGCUUUUAAGGUGAAGAAGGAUUCCAAUUUGUCACAUCUUGGUUCCUCAGUGCAGAAUCAAAGACCAUAACCUUUUAUAAGUGUAGUUGUUGAGUAGAUCCUCAUAUUUUGAUUGCACAUUUACAAACAUUAUGAGUAUUUGGAUGAUUAAUUCAUCUGCAACCUCUGCAGCAAGUUGGGUUGAGAGGACUGACCAGCAAAAGGCACAUGAAGAUAGUGCUGAGAUGGAUGAGGGAGAGGCAGAAGCUCAGGUUAAUAUGCAACCAUGUAGGGCCCCAUAAGCAAUUUCUGUACACCACCUGGUUCGCCAAAUCCAACGUCAAUCAGCCGAAACCUGCAAAUGGUUCUUCACUGCCUAAGUUGCCUUGAACUCUUAUCGACUACCAGCUUAGAACCUUGCUCCUAUGUCUUGAUCAAUACCUUUUCUAUUGUAAUCGUUCCUUUAAAGCUAUAGAAAAAAUAUAUAUAUGAAAUGACUUUUCUUUAUCUGUUGGUAUUUCUGUUUUAUUUUCGUGGAAUUGAAGCACUCGUGGAGAUAUAAAUGAGUGUUUGAUACUCACUACGUUGAUUUCCCAAAGAAAAUAGUACCAUCUUUGACGAAUUGGAGGAUAUUCACCAUUGCCCACCUUGCGCGUUUUUUCCAGAUAUAUUAGGGGCAAACACGCCAUAGACAAGGCAGAGAGGCAGAGAUGCAGAGACCACUCUCAUCUUCUAACAGCCAAACAACCAAUUCCUGGAGGGAAGAAAAAGAAAAAAAAAAGUGGUUGAAUUAUGACAAUCUCUCAUAUGAGAGCAUUAUUUCAUUUGGUUGAAUAAAGGCCUGUGAUAUUGAUUUAAGUCUAAUUUUCUCGGAAUCACGUCCUAUAUCAGAUACCUAAGCUGAAGCUUGAAACUAUACCAUAGAGACCCGGGUGAAGGGUGCAAUUCCCAAAAAUAACAUGAGAAUCUUUCAUGAUGUGAAACUGAGUAGCCCUUUGAGAGCAAUGCAGGCGAAUCCUUCUGCAAGGAGAGAGUUUCAACGGAUGAUGUUACUCGCCCAAAUAACCAAAUUCAUUACUAAGGUUGUUGUCAAGGGAUUGAGAGGAGAGAAGCCUCUAGGGAAAACCUUACAGUUCCAUGCCAACUCCAUUAUAUGCUUCUCUUCGAUUCUUCCUGCAUAAAUCUGAAGCUGCAGCACUCGAGCAUUUUUCACCACUUGAAAAGUUUUCUGCUUUUGUUGGUUCACUUUGUUUGCAUUGCUCUUUGAUAAAAUCAAAUUCUAAACAGUGUCUCUAUGCAUUACUUGUUUUGUUCGGACAAUUCGAAAACCCUCUUAGUUAACAAACAUUAGAAAGCACAUGAUACAGAGUAACAUAUUUCAAGAGAAUUUAAACUGCUGUCUAUUCAAAACAAAAAUAAAAAUCUAACAGGCAAACCUAAUAGUAAGUACAGCUUUUCUCAAAGGGUAAGGUUUGAAUAUGUAGUCAGCAGCAUGAGAUUAAAACAAAAAACAAAAAACAAAACAAAAAAGGCAAAAACAAAAUGAAAAGAAAAAAAACCCCACUGGUGCAGACAAUGUGAAGAAUAUGUGCAGAUGAUCUUUUGCUAUGAGCAUCUCCUUGUAGGUGAUUGUGAUCUUAUAAGCUAGCCACCAGCAUUACAUUCUCCUACAUAGAUAAUUUCUGGUUCUCUUGGAUAUGACUCUUGCCAGACGGAAGAAUGAGAAGAAAAAAACUUUGGGAGAUGCUAUUAAAAGGAAAUUUUUUAUUAUGGAAAUUCUAACCUCCCAAGCAAGUUUACAGCAUUAAGAAGCACACUAUGUAUAAGCUGAACUGGAAGAUUUUCUAUAUGGAGGCAAAGGCUUUAACUCUACAGUUUUGGGUGACUCUUUGCUUUCUGCAACACCUCCUUUAAAACUGUGGCAAUCCUAUGUGCCAUGUGGUGUUCCAAAAACGUUUCUUUUACCUUCUCAUAUCCUGUCUUUCCCAGGGUAAGCCUUCUAUGAACAUUAGUGGCUAGUGUGACAAUGUUUUUUGCAAGAGGAGUGACCCCUUCUUUCCCUGUUGGGUGUAACAAACCUGUUGACCCAUUCACUACAAUCUCGGUGGUGCCUCCUGCUGCUGUUCCCUGAAUACAUGUUUUGACAAACACUAAAAUUUAUGAAGUUGAAUGCCACUCACAAUGGAGGACAACCUUAAUAUGGUACUCAACACAUACUAUAAAGUAUCAAUCAGAAGGCCUCAAACAAAAACAACCAAAAAUUAAAAGGAAAAGUCCAUUCAUUACCAAUACAGGUAGCUGAAAUGCCAUGGCUUCAAUGGUUAUCCUUCCAAAGCACUCUCCUCGUGCCUGCAAAGAAGAAAAAGAAUAUUAUGAAACAACUUCUCCAUCGUUGAGGCAUCUUUAUCUAUAUGGGUUGUUGGUAACAAUGUUGGCUUACAAACUUAUGCUGGUAAACUGAAAACAAUUAAAACAAGUGCAGAGACAAUAAAUCAAAGGGGAUGUGCAAAGGAAAAGAAAGAAAAAGUGAAGUACAAUAAAAUCAACAGAAUGCUAAAGCAGAGGGGAACCUGCCUGGGAAUUCUGAACAAGAACAUCAAUGGCAGCUAGGUAAGGGGCCACUGUCAGCGUUUUAUUUACAAAGUGAACACGAUCUUGAAUCUUUUUUACUCUUACAAAAUCACGCAGUUGUGACUCAAACUUGGGCUGAGCAGUCAUGUCACUUCCCACAAUUACUGCAUGCAUUGAUGGAACCCUCAAUUUCUUUUGUAUAAUCAAUUGCAAGCUCUCAUAGAAGGAUUGCAGAAAUAAAUCCUGGCCUUUUCCACGUGAAACACCUGAAAUUAUGUAUACUUUUAGUGUUCCCAAGAUAUAAUUGUACAAGAUACUAGCACAAACAUGAUACUUUAAGGCAUGAUAGCAUUAGCAAUAGAUACUUUAUGUAUCUAUUAAGUGCAAUGAUGAGUGAGAAUUGUAAAAUGUGAGGACAGUUUCAAAAUACAGUCUACAGCAUAUUGCUUCAACUGGUAGAAAUUGCAAACAUGUGGUUUUGGGCAAGCAUGUUAACCAAAUAAGCUGCAAUAGCUGAACUCAACUACAACUGUACCAGACCAAAACGUUCAUUCUAGAUAUGGAAAGGAUUAUAAUGAUUGAGCAUUAGCAAAGUGAAUGAAAACCAAAACAUAAAUCGGCAAUGUGAAAUGCAUACUGUUUAUCAUUGCAAAGAGUACAUCUUCAUCCCGAACUCCAAGAGACUCCCGAACAUGUUCACGCAAAACCCUUUUUGCCACACUAUCUUCAGCAAUGUCCAUGAGGUCCUUGCUAUUGCCAAGGUGAACCACAUAGGUAUCAGGCAUUUUAAUCCUGCAAAGUGGAAAUGAGUAAAAGUUUUAAAAAUCCUCAGUUAUCAAACAUUGGUAUGUUAGAUUUGGACAUACAAACAAUGAUUACUAAUCAAACAUAUACUCUUACACUAGGUUGUAAUCUUCCCUUGUUGCACAUUGCUAGCUAGGAGAACAUAGAAGAAAAUCAUAGUUCUAAGGAAACACUGCACAACUUUGAGAAAGUCAAUCUAACUAAAAGUUUUAAGGACAUAUAUAUCAAAGAUAAGGUCUUCAAAGUCUUAAUUUCACCCAAUUUAUAUAAACCAUAAGCAUUGAAGGACCUGUACAUUCACUACAAAAUACUACUUUUCUUAUCUUAGAUCAAUAUGCCACAAAGCAUAUCAAAAUGGAAAUUGCAACUAAGAGCAGCAAUAUAAGAGCCACAUCAAGAAACACACAUGGUCAUGCACAGACCAACACACACAACAAUCACACACAUGCACACACUCACACAGAGACACACACUUGCAGAUACCUCAAAUAAUCUCUAGUUCCGGUUUUCCAGUACUCUGCUGCUACAUGUGAAUCAAUCAUAGCGGCAGCAACCAGAGGGAGGUGCCUGACAUACUCUAAUUGGAAAUAAUGGCCUUGUAUUUCAUGAAUCCACCACAACACUUUUGGAAGAACGUGAGGGACAUUUUCCUUCAGGACAUCAUCCAGCCAUUUUCCAGCCAUGACAGUGUUUAAAACAAGCAAAUCAGCUUUUAAAGCUCUGUUUAUAGCUUCUCGACCCUUUGCAGGCAAAACCUAACAACGUAUGGACAACAAUAGUUAGAAGCCAGAUUCAUAAGUUACAAAGAAAACCUACCAACCCACCAAAAUAAAGGAAAAGGCAAAUUAAGCAACAUAGAAAAACCAGAUAUGUACAGACUCAAGUUCAAAUUUUACCAUGACUCCCAAGAAGAUAAAAGUGUCUCUGCAGGCCAUACCAUCCCAAACCAAGAUUAAAAUGGCAAGCAUCAAAAGUGUGAGCUUGGCACAAUGCCAAACAGUCAUCUGGAAUAACUUCAAACAGAAGGCAAAAAAGCCUGAAGAAACUCCGUUGUAAACGUUUUUUUCUUACACCAUUUUGAGAAGUACAACGUCAAAAGUCAUUUAGAAUUCUGUAACAGAGUUUGCAAUUUUCAUUUUAGAUGUAUUUUUAUACCUUUUCACUUUUUUGAAAUUCCAAGCUACCUUUUAUUGUAAUCAAAUGAUUUAAAGACCAUGUUAGGCUUUUUGAAGUUAAAUUCAUCUAUAAUGUUUCAUUUGGUGUUGUCAAAAUAGAAAUUCUAGUAAUAAUAUACAGAAGAGAUUUAAUGUUCAACAUAUCAAUGAUUUCCCUCUCCCGCUGGCAAUAUGGACCAUAACAAACAAUCCUGCCUAUUAAAGAGAACCCAGUGUGAACCUUUUAAUGGUUAAUCAAAAUACCAAAAUAAUAAUAAUAAUAAUAAUAAUAACAACAAUUUUCAAGAGUUAAGAAAAGAUAACUGAAAUAAUAAUUCCCAAGAAUUAAGAAAAGAUAAUAAAACUCUUAGAAGCACACUAACCCAGUUCAUAAAUUGGCAAUUUGACAAAAUGAAAUUUACAUCACCUGUACUCCUCGGUGUUGCAUUUUAUUCUCCAAACUGUAUAUCACUUCAUCUGUUUCUGAUGGUUUAUGGUUUGUAAUCCAACAAACUUCAGCGCCAACACUUCUUAACAGAAAUGCUAGCUCCAUCAAUAAUAGCGGGCCACCUGUGAAGGAAACAAAAAAUAAGAACUCCAAAUGAAGGAGAAUGAGAAAGCAAAAGUAUAAGAAGAAGAAAGAUAUAUUAAGCAUAUGCUUCAGAGACAAAGAAAAAGUUGUUAUAGACAUCAGACUUUGAAAACAAGAGAGAAAGAAUGAGAGAGACAGAGAGAUCUAUAGCUGUUGGUGUCAUUUAUUUCCUAUUGAGAAACUUGUCUUCUGCCCUCAGCAGAAUUAUGUAUUAACACAGCAUGUUCAAACCAACAUUUUUCUGCACUUUUCUUUCCCUUUAUACUAAUUUCUAUUAUGAUAUAAAUAAAUGAAAAAAAAAAAAAAAACUACUCAAGACUUAAAUACUGUCUUGGUAAGUAACUGAUCCUUUGUGGUUAAAGUCGGGAGUUCCACCCUCGAAAGAAUUUAAAGUUCCCAAAAGGAGAACUAUAUGGAAAAGAAGCAUUUUUUGAUGCAUCAACACUUGUCUGUCUAUUCAUUAAUUUUUUCAUGCAAGGAAAAUGACAUAGUGAAAGGGUCUUCUCUGAAACGGUUGCAAUCAUUAUUAAAUGACAAAAAAAGUAUUACUUCCUUCCAUGUAUAUCGAUAUAUUCGAUCUAGUGAAGUUACCACUUGAUCCAUUUAUGGAGCAACAUUUCAUCCCAAACACUAGGAAUACUUGACAGAGUAAUCCUAGGCUAUAUCCAAACCAAACUAUAUUAUCAUGCAUAUAUUUCCAAAAAUUUCAAAAUUCAAAUGACGUUUGUUAUACUGCUUCUUUACUACUAUGAUACCCAAACUCUCCAACUUUACUUAGCGUAUCUAUGUCGACACAACAUGACGUGGGUGUGGAUGUGAGAUCCUUGUUUGUUUCUCUUACUUGGCUUUGAAUAUGGCUGUUUGACUUUGACUAUUUUUUUUCAACCUCCUUAAUAGAUCAUUACAUUGAAAAAGAGAGGAUUUAGCGGUAAUGAAGAAAAGGUAAAGAUUAAAAAUUAAAAAAUAGAGGUUAUUAUCAAUAUAUACUCUUUUCAAUUAAUUUCUAAUUGGUUUUUCCUUUUUGUCCUUUUAUUAUGUCAUAUCCAUGUAUCCAUAUCUAAAAUUUAAAUUCCUUUUAGCUGGUUCCUUGCAUCCUAAAUUUUGGAGUUAAAAAUAUCCAACUCCUAAGGAUGUACCCACACUUGACACAUGUGGCCAAGUCCAAGCAGCAUAGCUUCUUUAGAAGUUCAAGACUGCUGAGCAGUGCAAAUUUUUUUGUUGCCUCCACAAAGCACCUCCCUUUUAUCAAGUUGGGUUUCAAUGGCUUCCAUCAUUUUGUGAAGGUAAACAAGCAUGGACACAAAAUAUAUCCCACCACUCUGUUAAACUUCAUAUAUUCCAGAUAGGCACCCCUGUAUUCAAUUUAUAAUUGUCACCAACACCUUAACGAAGAAAAGGACAUUGAAAAAGAAAGGAUUUAGCGGUAACGCAGAAAAGGUAAAGAUUAAAAAAUUAAAAAAUAGAAGUUAUUAUCAAAAUACCCUUACUCUUUUCAAUUAGUUUCUAAUUGGUUUUUCCUUUUUGUCCUUUUUUUAUGUCAUAUCCAUGUAUCCAUAUCUAAAAUUUAAAUUCCUUUUUUAGCUGGUUCCUUGCAUCCUAAAUUUUGGAGUUAAAAAUAUCCAACUCCUAAGGAUGUACCCACACCUGACACAUGUGGCCAAGUCCAAGCAGCAUAGCUUCUUUAGAAGUUCAAGACUGCUGAGCAGUGCAAAUUUUUUUGUUGCCUCCACAAGGCACCUCCCUUUUAUCAAGUUGGGUUUCAAUGGCUUCCAUCAUUUUGUGAAGGUAAACAAGCAUGGACACAAAAUAUAUCCCACCACUUCCGUUAAAACUUCAUCUAUUCCAGAUAGGCACCCCCGUAUUCAAUUUAUAAUUGCCACCAAUACCCUAACUCUGCAGGCUAUGAGAUAUUAAAGGGGAGGUUAUUUUUUGGCAUUUUACAUUUUUUUUACUUACAUGAUAUUUGGCGGACAUCUAGUACCCAUAGUAAAUGGAAACACGACAAAAUGGGAGAACAUGCUAAUAAAGCAGCCUAUAAUCCUGAAAUCACUAUAUUCCACAUAAAACCGUUAAAACACAUUCCAUGAACAUCUUUCUGUGUUCAUAACUAAUACUUCUAUUGGAUUAUAUAUGAAAAUAAAGACAAACACAUGGCUAAAAUAAGUCAUACUUACAAACCAGAAGCCUUUGUCAGAUCAGACAAAUGAGAAACAGGAAAAAAAACAACAUAGAUUCACUGAAAAUGAAACCUGAUAAAAUGUGAUGACACGCCAAUGCAUCCAGCACAUUAUCUUGACAUCAAUUUUUCUCAAAUAAUAGUUAAAACACAUUUCGUGGACUUUUUUUGCAUUAACAAUUCCAUUGAAUUAGAUACAAUAAAUAGCUAUCAAAAAUAAAAUAAAAUAAAAAUUUUGAAUUAGAUACAACAACAAAAAAAA